GACUCACUUUCAAUGGCUGCUAAUUAAAAUAUAUAUUCAGGGCAACUUAAAUCUGUCCUCCUCUUGGCUAUCCUCAAUAUCUGACAUUGAGUAAAUGUAUUUCAGGUUACAUUUUAACCUUUUUUAUUAUUUUAAGUUGACUGAGGGCUGGCCUGGAACAUUCUCCUUGGUAUAAAUACUCCAACUAUAAGCUACCUGCUCAGUAGAGGAAACUAAUCAACAGCAGGGCCUAGCAUAGGUCAAAGACACAAGCAGUGGGAAGCUUUUUGGGGCCUGGCUCCUAAUUGCAAGGACAGUUGCACAGGUGUCUCUGAAUGCUUAGACAGCCUGGCCUUUCCUGACCCAAUGCCCCCCAUCAGCUUUUUCAAGCACAUCUUGAUCUUUUGUCAUUCUGUUCUCUGGGGUGAAAACUCAUCGUCAGGGCUGUCUACAACAAAACAGAAGUAUCAGGUUACUAAAACCUCAGGAACAGAGAUUACGGAUUGGGUUAAGAGUGUGCCCUUUCUUAAGGAUGGUACGCAUGGAAAAGCAGCAAGCAGUUUCAGAAAGAUACAGGAAAAAUUGCCUCUAACGGAUAUUUAUACUUCAACUCAAUUUAUUCUGUAAGUGGUAGGGAAAAUGGGAUAAAAUACCAUAUGUUCAAGCAUUUUUGCUUCUCAGUCAGAAUGAAACCCUGCAGCAGGCAUGUCCAUGUUUCAUGAGAGAAAUAGAAGAAAAAGAGUUGGACAUACAAGAUGAUCCUUAUUUCAAGCCCCCCUGCCACUUGGUUCAGCGGGCAUUUUUGGGUGAAGCAGAACCUUUCUGUCAGGUCUGAAGGUUCAGAUGUGUUGGUCUUUUUUCCCACUAAUACACCUGAAAGUUCUAUUGAGAACCAUUUGUCCCUCCUCCCUACCCUUCUAGUCCCACUCUGUACCCACCACUCCCUGAAGAACUUAGCCCAGUGAGUACUACUCAUAGUGGAGCUGCCUAUCAACCUCCAAGGGGAAAUCUUUGUCCACCUACAGAGGUUGCAAAUGGGGAAGAAGGCCUGUGAGAGGAGGUGUCCCCUUUUCUCUGUCUGGUUUGGCUCUAUAAUAAGACAAGUUUGGUCAUUUCUCUGAAGAUGCAGGAAAAUUCAUAGGUGAGUUUGAGAAGUUAACUCUGACCUACAGUUUAACAUGGCAGGAUCUGUACAUUUUGUUGUCUCUGUGUUAUACAGUGGAAGAAAAACAAUGCAUUUUGGGGACAGCUAGGACUCAUGCAGAUGAGGUAUUGGCUUGCAACCCGAACCAUAAUAUAUAUCAGACAGGAGGUAUAGCAGUUCCAGAUCAAGAUCUAGAGUGGAACUAUCAAAGGGGGUGUGAGGACUUGGAAGAAGAGAUCAUAUGGUCACUUGUUUGUUGAAAGAGAUGAAGAAAUGUAUGAAAAAACCUGUUAACAAUGAAAAGGUUAAGCAACUUUCUCAGGGCAAAGAUGACAAUCCAGCUUUGUUUUAAUAGUGUUUAGUUGAGGCAAUCAGAAAAUAUACUAACACUGAUCUUGCCUCAAUGAAAAGAUAGACCCUUCUGGGAGUACAUUUUAUAACCCAGUCUGCCCCUGAUAUCCAUAGAAAACUACUAAAAGCAGCUAUGGGUCCCCAAACUUCUCUGGAACAGCUUUGGAUAUGGCAUUUUUAGUUUUUAAUAACAGGGACAAAGCGGAGGUAGCGGAAAGAGGAAGAAGGACCUCCCACAAGUUGCAGGUCUUGGUUGCAACCUUAAGCUAACCUCCCACAUGGGGUUGCCCUCCUGGGUCUUGGGUUGAACAAGGGAAGCUGAAAGGUGGGAAGCCUAAACCUGGGUGUCCGAGUCACUGUGCCUUGGGCAUAAAUCAGGUUGCACACUGUAAGAAAACUGACCACUGGAAGAGGGUUUGUCCAGUGUUCUGAAGAGAGCCAUCAGCACGUGAACUAAUGAUGGGUAAAACAGCCAGGCAAGCACCCAAGAGUGACGGGGACUGAGACCUUCCACCACGGUUUCCAUCAGACAACUAGCCAUAUAUCUGGAAAAGCCUCAGUAUUUUUUGCCAUGGCAGUUAAGAAUAUGAAGUUUCACCAGGUGCGGUGGCUCACACCUGUAAUCCUAGCACUUUGGAAGGCCGAGGUGGGUGGAUGACUUGAGGUCAGGAGUUCAAGACUAGUCUGGCCAACAUGGUGAAACCCCAUCUCUACU
This 2189-nucleotide long non-coding RNA is filed under the name Homo sapiens (human). RNAcentral's name for it is "HSALNT0257621". The record is from RNAcentral. Lineage: Eukaryota; Metazoa; Chordata; Mammalia; Primates; Hominidae.